AAGUCGUAACAAGGUUUCCGUAGGUGAACCUGCGGAAGGAUCAUUAACACGUAUCCAACGUUAAAAACACCCCUGUGAACCCGUUAAUCUUGCUCCUCACGCCCUGCACGCCUAGCAAUCCCUGGUAAAUCAUGUUAACAAUGGAUAUCUUGGUUCUC
Molecule: unclassified non-coding RNA, 158 nt
Filed under: fungal sp.
Lineage: Eukaryota; Fungi
Description: partial internal transcribed spacer region
Rfam family: Eukaryotic small subunit ribosomal RNA (bases 1-46)
Source: RNAcentral